GUCCUUUUGAUAAUAAUUUAAGGUCGGGCCUGCCCAAUGAUGUUAGAAUUAAAUGGCCGCGGUAUAUUGACCGUGCAAAGGUAGCAUAAUCAUUAGUUUUUUAAUUGAAAGCUUGUAUGAAAGGUUUGAUGAAAGAAUAACUGUCUCUAUUUGAAUUUUUUAGAAUUUUAUUUUUAAGUAAAAAAGCUUAAAUAUUUAUAGAAGACGAGAAGACCCUAUAGAGUUUUAUAUUUAAUUUAAAAAGAGUAAUUUUUAGAAUUUUUAUUAUGUUUUGAAUUAAGUAUUUAGUUGGGGUGAUUGAAAAAUUAAAAAAACUUUUUUUUAAUAAAGUCAUUGAUUUAUGAAUAUAUGAUCCAUUUUUUAUGAUUAAAAGAAUAAAUUACCUUAGGGAUAACAGCGUAAUUUUUUUUUAGAGUUCUAAUCGAAAGAAAAGAUUGCGACCUCGAUGUUGGAUUAAAAUUAAGAAUUGGUGUAGAAGCUAAUUUGUUGGGUCUGUUCGACCUUUAAAAUUUUACAUGAUCUGAGUUUAAACCGGCGUAAG
Molecule: ribosomal RNA, 541 nt
Filed under: Pappista sp. ARC5140
Lineage: Eukaryota; Metazoa; Arthropoda; Insecta; Coleoptera; Curculionidae
Description: partial 16S large subunit ribosomal RNA
Rfam family: Bacterial large subunit ribosomal RNA
Source: RNAcentral